UACGUAGGGUGCAAGCGUUAUCCGGAAUUAUUGGGCGUAAAGAGCUCGUAGGCGGUUUGUCGCGUCUGCUGUGAAAACUGGAGGCUCAACCUCCAGCCUGCAGUGGGUACGGGCAAACUAGAGUGCGGUAGGGGAGAUUGGAAUUCCUGGUGUAGCGGUGGAAUGCGCAGAUAUCAGGAGGAACACCGAUGGCGAAGGCAGAUCUCUGGGCCGUAACUGACGCUGAGGAGCGAAAGCAUGGGGAGC
Molecule: ribosomal RNA, 246 nt
Filed under: uncultured bacterium
Lineage: Bacteria
Description: partial 16S ribosomal RNA
Rfam family: Bacterial small subunit ribosomal RNA
Source: RNAcentral